Molecule: ribosomal RNA, 429 nt
Filed under: Chloroflexota bacterium
Lineage: Bacteria; Bacillati; Chloroflexota
Also listed under: 1 other name
Description: Chloroflexi bacterium partial 16S ribosomal RNA
Rfam family: Bacterial small subunit ribosomal RNA
Source: RNAcentral
UAGGGAAUCUUCGGCAAUGGACGAAAGUCUGACCGAGCAACGCCGCGUGAGUGAAGAAGGUUUUCGGAUCGUAAAACUCUGUUGUUAGAGAAGAACAAGGACGUUAGUAACUGAACGUCCCCUGACGGUAUCUAACCAGAAAGCCACGGCUAACUACGUGCCAGCAGCCGCGGUAAUACGUAGGUGGCAAGCGUUGUCCGGAUUUAUUGGGCGUAAAGCGAGCGCAGGCGGUUUCUUAAGUCUGAUGUGAAAGCCCCCGGCUCAACCGGGGAGGGUCAUUGGAAACUGGGAGACUCGAGUGCAGAAGAGGAGAGUGGAAUUCCAUGUGUAGCGGUGAAAUGCGUAGAUAUAUGGAGGAACACCAGUGGCGAAGGCGGCUCUCUGGUCUGUAACUGACGCUGAGGCUCGAAAGCGUGGGGAGCAAACAGG